This 432-nucleotide ribosomal RNA is filed under the name uncultured bacterium. RNAcentral's name for it is "bacterial SSU rRNA". It matches the Rfam family "Bacterial small subunit ribosomal RNA", at positions 917 to 1350 of the family's 1533-position model. The record is from RNAcentral.
GGGCCCGCACAAGCGGUGGAGUAUGUGGUUUAAUUCGAUGCAACGCGAAGAACCUUACCAGGGUUUGACAUCCUGCGAAUCUCUUGGAAACGAGAGAGUGCCUUCGGGAGCGCAGUGACAGGUGGUGCAUGGCUGUCGUCAGCUCGUGUCGUGAGAUGUUGGGUUAAGUCCCGCAACGAGCGCAACCCACGUCUUUAGUUGCCAGCAUUUAGUUGGGCACUCUAGAGAGACCGCCGGUGAUAAACCGGAGGAAGGUGUGGAUGACGUCAAGUCAUCAUGCCCCUUACAUCCUGGGCUACACACGUACUACAAUGCUACGGACAAAGAGCAGCAAGUUCGCGAGGACAAGCAAAUCUCAUAAACCGUGGCUCAGUUCAGAUCGUAGGCUGCAACUCGCCUACGUGAAGGAGGAAUCGCUAGUAAUCGCAGGUC